ACUCCUACGGGAGGCAGCAGUGGGGAAUAUUGCACAAUGGGCGUAAGCCUGAUGCCGCAACGACGCGUGAGGGACGACGGCCUUCGGGUUGUAAACCUCUUUUAGUAGGGAAGAAGCGAAAGUGACGGUACCUGCAGAAAAAGCACCGGCUAACUACGUGCCAGCAGCCGCGGUAAUACNUAGGGUGCAAGCGUUAUCCGGAAUUAUUGGGCGUAAAGAGCUCGUAGGCGGUUUGUCGCGUCUGCUGUGAAAACUGGAGGCUCAACCUCCAGCCUGCAGUGGGUACGGGCAGACUAGAGUGCGGUAGGGGAGAUUGGAAUUCCUGGUGUAGCGGUGGAAUGCGCAGAUAUCAGGAGGAACACCGAUGGCGAAGGCAGAACUCUGGGCCGUAACUGACGCUGAGGAGCGAAAGCAUGGGGAGCGAACAGGAUUAGAUACCAUGGUAGUCCAUGCCGUAAACGUUGGGAACUAGAUGUAGGGUCCAUUCCACGGAUUCUGUGUCGCAGCUAACGCACUAAGUUCCCCGCCUGGGGAGUACGGCCGCAAGGCUAAAACUCAAAGGAAUUGACGGGGGCCCGCACAAGCGGCGGAGCAUGCGGAUUAAUUCGAUGCAACGCGAAGAACCUUACCAAGGCUUGACAUAUACCGGAAAAGUUCAGAAAUGUUCUCCCCGCAAGGUCGGUAUACAGGUGGUGCAUGGUUGUCGUCAGCUCGUGUCGUGAGAUGUUGGGUUAAGUCCCGCAACGAGCGCAACCCUCGUUCUAUGUUGCCAGCACGUAAUGGUGGGAACUCCUAGGAGACUGCCGGGGUCAACUCGGA
Molecule: ribosomal RNA, 819 nt
Filed under: uncultured Actinomycetes bacterium
Lineage: Bacteria; Bacillati; Actinomycetota; Actinomycetes
Description: bacterial SSU rRNA
Rfam family: Bacterial small subunit ribosomal RNA
Source: RNAcentral